This is a non-coding RNA of Lolium perenne, 1106 nucleotides long. The record is from RefSeq and is a predicted model, not a curated record. NCBI's taxonomy places the organism in Eukaryota, Viridiplantae, Streptophyta, Magnoliopsida, Poales, Poaceae.
CGGACAUGGUCCGAAACACGGCCCAGGCCCAGGUGCAGACGGUAGCUGGUGGGGAAGGGGACUGGACGGCAUAACCCUCGUUCCACCGGGAACUCGCUGCGUGGGUGCCGCCGCCGAUCCACAACUCCGGCGACACCGCCGCCUCGCAUCCUACCACCGGCGUGUAAGCCGAGAUCUCCUCCUACAUCCCCUCCACCAACUAUUCCGAACAACAUCCUGUCAUGGCCGCGGUGCGCCCUUGGUCUCACGCCGUCCUCUUUGAUCGCCAAGACGGCUGAUGUCUUCUCGGUGGUCCGGGAGAGGUGCCUGGCUUUCAUCGCGUCGCAGGCUCGCAGCGCCCGUGGCGGCUCGGCGGUGGCGCAGGAAAUUGGAAGAUGCCGACAAAGUGGUGCUGGUAGGCGAAAUGGCCGGCGCGUGAUUCGGUGGUAGGUUCAUCUUUAGGCUUCAGCGACGACAAGCACGGCCGAGACACCAAUGCGUUAUCUCCGCAAGGGAAGGGUGGAGGAGCGAAUAUGUGAAGUGGUAAGCUCUCCCUUCCUGGGUGGAACUGAAGCAAGGUUUAAGAGUUCUCCAGAAUUCAUUGUUCCAGUGGGUCUUUGGAGCAGCAAUGCGACCUUCGGCGUAGGCCGGCGACGGCGGAAGUGACAAGCCUACCAUACCACUUCUUCGUCCGAUUAGACUCAGACGAAACCUGCACGCGUGUGGUGAACUUCUACCCGGCAGUGCGCCGUUGCCUCGCUGGCUCCAAGCUCCCCUACGCACAAGCGCACACAGGAGUACAAUCUCAUUCUGCAUGUGAAGGAGGCCAUCGACCGCGGCCCUUUGGUGAUGGAGGGCACUGAUUUCUACCCUGAUGAUGACGAAGACCUAAGCCGCAAGCACAAAGUUUAAGACCUAGCGUGGCAAGAUCGACGGCAGAGGUCUUGGUCAUCAUGACGAGGCAUGAUCGGAAUUUGCUAUGAUCCUUCUCCCCGGCGUUUACUUCAGUUUAUAAUGUUUCGCCUAGCUAUUUUUUUAUUGAGUCGUACUACCCAUGUUUAAGUCAGAUUAUAAUGUUUCGGACUACCUGUGUUUAAUCGAGUUUGGUACAUCCAUUGUUUACUUCA